AUGGGAUGGAGCCAGAUCAUCCUCUUUCUGGUGGCAGCAAUUACAUGUGCCCACUCCCAGGUCCAGCUGCAGCAGUCAGGAGCUGAGCUAGCGAGUCCUGGGGCCUCAGUGAAGCUGUCCUGCAAGGCUUCUGGCUACACCUUCACCGACCAUAUUAUAAGUUGGAUAAAAAAGAGGCCUGGGCAGGGCCUUGAGUGGAUUGGAAGGAUUUAUCCUGUAAGUGGUGAAAUUAAUUACAAUCAAAAGUUCAUGGGCAAGGCCACAUUUUCUGUAGACCAGUCCUCCAGCACAGUGUACAUGGUGUUGAAUAGCCUGACAUCUGCAGACCCUGCUGUCUAUUACUGUGGAAGGCACAGUGUUACAACCACAUCCUGA
Molecule: non-coding RNA, 375 nt
Organism: Mus pahari (shrew mouse)
Lineage: Eukaryota; Metazoa; Chordata; Mammalia; Rodentia; Muridae
Source: the annotation of a RefSeq genome assembly